Molecule: transfer RNA, 64 nt
Filed under: Pheosiopsis cinerea
Lineage: Eukaryota; Metazoa; Arthropoda; Insecta; Lepidoptera; Notodontidae
Description: tRNA-Cys
Source: RNAcentral
AGCCUUAUAGUCAAUAAAAUGAUAUAAAAUUGCAAAUUUUAAGUAAUAUUAAAUAUUAAGGCUU